UCAGUAUAAGUCUUUAAAUGUCGAAACUGCGAAUGGCUCAUCCAAACAGCUAUAGUUUAUUUGAUGGUCACCUGUUAUUUGGACCAUUGUGGUAAUUCUAGAGCUAAUACAUGCAUAAAAACCCGACUUCUUGGAAGCGUUGCAUUUAUUAGAUACAGAACCAAUCCGGCUUGCCGGUCCUUGGAUGAUUCAUAAUAAAUGAACGGAGCGCAUGACUCGCGUCGGCGCUGUGUCAUUCAAGUUUCUGACCUAUCAGCUUUCCACGGUAGGGCAUUGGCCUACCGUGGCAUUGACGGGCAACGGAGAAUUAGGGUUCGAUUCCGGAGAGGGAGCCC
RNAcentral lists this ribosomal RNA (335 nucleotides) under uncultured Syndiniales. RNAcentral's name for it is "bacterial SSU rRNA". It matches the Rfam family "Eukaryotic small subunit ribosomal RNA", at positions 60 to 397 of the family's 1831-position model. Lineage: Eukaryota; Dinophyceae; Syndiniales. The record is from RNAcentral.